This 228-nucleotide long non-coding RNA is filed under the name Gallus gallus (chicken). Lineage: Eukaryota; Metazoa; Chordata; Aves; Galliformes; Phasianidae. The record is from RNAcentral.
CUUUUUACAAUCAGGCAAGAUAAUACUGAGCGGCGGCACUGAACCUGCAGGACAAAAUGAGCCUUUGCUUUAAAUAUCCGAGAGACAAAUGGAGAUCCUCAUAUGAGAAAGGAUUUGCAACUGGGCUGUGUUGGGAGCAGCCUUGGACAGGGUCAGGCUGUGUUUCCCAGGAGAAACCCUUUGCAGCAGGAUGAGGAGCUCAGGCUGAGGCUCUCAGCAGCCCUAAAG